GGAGAACAUCCCGUAGCAUAUUUGAGCCGGAAAUUGUUACCCCGAGAAGUGAGCUACGCCGCCAUCGAAAAAGAAUGCCUGGCCGUGGUGUGGGCCCUGAAAAAGUUACAACCGUAUCUCUAUGGGCAACCCUUUUCUUUGCUCACAGAUCACAACCCGUUGGUGUGGCUGAACCGUGUGGCUGGAGACAAUGCCAGGCUGCUGCGCUGGAGUUUAGCGCUGCAGCCUUUUGACUUUACUAUCC
Pelobates cultripes (western spadefoot toad) is the source of this 244-nucleotide non-coding RNA. Lineage: Eukaryota; Metazoa; Chordata; Amphibia; Anura; Pelobatidae. The record is from the annotation of a GenBank genome assembly.